AAUCAACGCUGGCGGCGUGCUUAACACAUGCAAGUCGAGCGGUAAGGCCCUUUCGGGGGUACACGAGCGGCGAACGGGUGAGUAACACGUGGGUGACCUGCCCUCAGCUCUGGGAUAAGCCUGGGAAACCGGGUCUAAUACCGGAUAUGACUCCAUGACGCAUGUUGUGGGGUGGAAAGCCUUGUGCGGCUGAGGAUGGGCCCGCGGCCUAUCAGCUUGUUGGUGGGGGAUGGCCUACCAAGGCGACGACGGGUAGCCGGCCUGAGAGGGCGACCGGCCACACUGGGACUGAGACACGGCCCAGACUCCUACGGGAGGCAGCAGUGGGGAAUCUUGCGCAAUGGGCGAAAGCCUGACGCAGCGACGCCGCGUGAGGGAUGACGGCCUCGG
RNAcentral lists this ribosomal RNA (390 nucleotides) under uncultured bacterium. RNAcentral describes it as "bacterial SSU rRNA". It matches the Rfam family "Bacterial small subunit ribosomal RNA", at positions 28 to 420 of the family's 1533-position model. The record is from RNAcentral.